This 484-nucleotide ribosomal RNA is filed under the name uncultured bacterium. RNAcentral's name for it is "partial 16S ribosomal RNA". It matches the Rfam family "Bacterial small subunit ribosomal RNA", at positions 30 to 507 of the family's 1533-position model. The record is from RNAcentral.
AUUGAACGCUGGCGGAAUGCUUUACACAUGCAAGUCGAACGGCAGCACGGGGGCAGCCCUGGUGGCGAGUGGCGAACGGGUGAGUAAUACAUCGGAACGUGCCCGGUCGUGGGGGAUAACGUAGCGAAAGUUACGCUAAUACCGCAUACGAUCUGAGGAUGAAAGCGGGGGACCUUCGGGCCUCGCGCGAUCGGAGCGGCCGAUGUCAGAUUAGGUAGUUGGUGGGGUAAAGGCCUACCAAGCCGACGAUCUGUAGCUGGUCUGAGAGGACGACCAGCCACACUGGGACUGAGACACGGCCCAGACUCCUACGGGAGGCAGCAGUGGGGAAUUUUGGACAAUGGGCGCAAGCCUGAUCCAGCCAUUCCGCGUGCAGGACGAAGGCCUUCGGGUUGUAAACUGCUUUUGUACGGAACGAAAAGGCUCUGGCUAAUACCUGGGGCUCAUGACGGUACCGUAAGAAUAAGCACCGGCUAACUGCGUG